GGAGAGGUGGCUCAGAGGUUAAGAGCACUGACUAUUCUUCCAGAGAUCCUGAGUUCAAUUCCCAGCAACCCCA
Molecule: transfer RNA, 73 nt
Organism: Neotoma lepida (desert woodrat)
Lineage: Eukaryota; Metazoa; Chordata; Mammalia; Rodentia; Cricetidae
Rfam family: tRNA
About the family: Transfer RNA (tRNA) molecules are approximately 80 nucleotides in length.
Source: Rfam